Branchiostoma belcheri (Belcher's lancelet) is the source of this 848-nucleotide long non-coding RNA. RefSeq lists it as uncharacterized. NCBI's taxonomy places the organism in Eukaryota, Metazoa, Chordata, Leptocardii, Amphioxiformes, Branchiostomatidae. The transcript is spliced from 3 exons. The record is from RefSeq and is a predicted model, not a curated record.
UGGUGAUCACGUCUGUCAAGUAGACGUGCUCGAGAACUCUCCUGCCGUGAACAGGGUUGUACUUGAUCAGCUACAAACUGAAGAAUCAUGAAGAAUCAACUUCUGAUACUUGCCAUCCUGGCUGUCACGAUCUGCGCCAAACCGUUGAACGAUGAAAAAGAACCACCGAAUACCAUAGACAAGGCGACCGGUGGCGGCACCUUAGAACCCAGGCGACGAAUUGAGAAGCCGAAUGGUGGGCCAGGUCCAGGUGGCCAUGACGGGAUGGCAGAUCAUCACGCCACCUUGCGAGACAGUAUGGGAUCGUUCAACAAUGAUAAAAUACCUUACGGUCUGUUUAAAUAUUGUUUUGAGCACCGAAGCACUUGAAACUGUUAAUCGAUGGCAAUAAUAGUCUUUAAACCCUUUAUAUUGAAUUGAUUUGUAAGUGUUUUCUCCUAGAAGCUGUUAUCGUAUCUUUUUUUUUUCAUCCGUGGUCACUUGGUUGAAAGUUUCAGUAUAUUUUGUCAGGUUAGGAAUGUUAAUGUCUUGACCACAGUAUGGACAAACUUCAUCGAACAACUGAACCUGUCGGUAUUUUUCUUAUUGGAAUUGAAAUGUACAUUUGCUCAGAGAGUGACCCGUGCUCAGUCACUCUCAAUCACUCUUGACCACCCAAUCAAUCACCUGUCAAAGCCUUCUCCUACCCUCCAUUCAACUGUGAUACAAACGAUAUCAUAAGUCACCAAAACAAAUUGUACCUGGAAGUUAUUGAGAUAAAACAACAGUUAUAUUAUCAACUAGAGUUCCACGAUCUAAUACCUUUGCCAAAUGAUGUUAGCCUUUAUGACUAAGAAAUUAUAGAUGAA